UAGCCUGUUGAUACAAUAUGACAACGUAAUCAGUAUUCUUGAUAAUUUUACUCUCUCAGUUAUUAUGUAACUCAGAUAACUUUUUGUUUAACUUCACUGACAAAGAAACGAAACAGAAUUAGCAAAGAAUGUAAAGAUUUUUUUAUUUGAGAGAUAGGUAGCAUGCUACUCGCGUCGUUUAUUUUGUUUAGAAAUAAACUUAGCUAGAAAUGUGAAUCAACUAAAAUUCACAUUUGGAACCUCGGGUAUCAAUCACUAAGCCUUUUGCCACUUGCUAGGGACAAUCGGUAAAAUAUAAAGAAAAUUGAAAGAAAAGUUUGUAGGAAUGUA
RNAcentral lists this long non-coding RNA (330 nucleotides) under Ananas comosus (pineapple). RNAcentral describes it as "long non-coding RNA (ACOM_LNC038518)". Lineage: Eukaryota; Viridiplantae; Streptophyta; Magnoliopsida; Poales; Bromeliaceae. The record is from RNAcentral.